This 793-nucleotide ribosomal RNA is filed under the name Homidia phjongjangica. Its description in RNAcentral is "eukaryotic LSU rRNA". It matches the Rfam family "Eukaryotic large subunit ribosomal RNA", at positions 38 to 647 of the family's 3401-position model. Lineage: Eukaryota; Metazoa; Arthropoda; Collembola; Entomobryomorpha; Entomobryidae. The record is from RNAcentral.
GCAUAUUAAUAAGCGGAGGAAAAGAAACUAACAAGGAUUCCCUGAGUAACGGCGAGCGAAAAGGGAAUAGCCCAGCGCCGAAUCUCUUGUCCUCCGGGCAAGAAGACAUGUGGCGUUUGGGACGAGGCUUUGCCUGUGCAGAAUGGUCAUCCAAGUCCCUCUUGAACGGGGCCAUAGCCCAUGGAGGGUGCUAGGCCCGUAUGAUGACUUUAUUGUGCAGUGCGUCUCGUCCGUAGAGUCGGGUUGCUUGGGAGUGCAGCCCAAAUCAGGUGGUAAACUCCAUCUAAGGCUAAAUAUGACCACGAGACCGAUAGCGAACAAGUACCGUGAGGGAAAGUUGAAAAGAACUUUGAAGAGAGAGUUAAAAAGUACGUGAAACCUCUCGGGGGUAAGCGGGCAGAACUUGCAAGUAUUGGCUGGGAACAUUCAGGCUUAGUGUCGGCGGCUUGUGGUGCACGUUUUGUUGCUCUUUCGGGAGUUGACUGCCGUGUGCUGCUUGUUCUGCUGACGAUGCGCCGCAUUUGUUCCUGUCAUCGGGUUGCAUGCGACUGAAUUGGCAGUUUAGGUGCUGGGUUCCUGCAAAUCCUUGUGGUUUGAGUCCUGGUUUUCCAACUGCUGUUGCGGUCGUUGAAAUUACGAGUAGGCGCUUGGCGCGGUCAUUGGAUUUCGCGAGUUGGGUGCUUAUGAUAUGUGGACGGGUAACCGUAACAUGUUGUCUGUACCUGCUGUCAGUGAGAUAUUUACACUUUGGCACUACUCUGAUUGCAAUCUAAAGCAUGCGUGGUCUGCCUGU